RNAcentral lists this long non-coding RNA (382 nucleotides) under Penaeus japonicus. RNAcentral describes it as "uncharacterized LOC122244554". The record is from RNAcentral. Lineage: Eukaryota; Metazoa; Arthropoda; Malacostraca; Decapoda; Penaeidae.
AAUCAUCUAAGGAGCUAUUAGCAAGAAAGAGUUAAGCUCUAAACGACAUUUUUUCCAAACUGAUGCUAAACAUAUAGAAGAAAGGGACAUAACAACCCUAAAUAUAAUAUUGAAUGUCGAACAUCUUCCACAACAGCAGAAGACAGUUCAUGAAAGGAUGAUUCUGAUGAUUGCAGUGAAGAAAGUGAAGUCCUUGCUGUUGCUUAUACUUAGCCUUGUGAGAAGAUGUUUUUGUUGUUUAAGGAAGAGACGGCACUCAGAUGCUCACCUCCCCAUUGCUGUCACAGGAGAUGGGGAACUGAAGUCGGCUCCUAACCAGCCAGAUGAAGGGUUUGGUGGCUGGGACUCAUGGGACGUGCCGUCGUCUGUAGUCAGUGAUGGU